Molecule: ribosomal RNA, 1362 nt
Filed under: Meranoplus bicolor
Lineage: Eukaryota; Metazoa; Arthropoda; Insecta; Hymenoptera; Formicidae
Description: 16S ribosomal RNA
Source: RNAcentral
GUUUUAUUUAAGAAAAUAUGUUAAUUAAAGUUAUAUGAAAUUUUUAAGUUUUAUUAUUAAAAUUUAAAUAAUUAUUAAAAAUUAUAUUGUAAGUAAUGUAAAUGGAAAAUGGAUAAAUUUUAAAAAGAAGAUUUAAAUUAUUGAACCUUUUGUAUCAGGGAUUAUUAAAGUAUAUAUUAUUUAUAUUUAAUAUUCUCGAAUUAAUAAGAGUUAAUAAAUUUAUGAAAGUUAAUGUAGAAAAAUUAUUUUAAAUAAUUUAUUAGUGAAGAUAUUUCAGUCGUUUAUUAAGAUAUCUAGUUUUUUUAUUAUUAAAUUUAAUUUAGUUUUAAAUAUUAUAUAAUAGUUAAUUAUUUAAUUAUUAUAAGGGUUUAAAGUAAAUUUUUAUGGGAUAACCUAUAAUUAUUAUUAAAAUUAUUUUUUAAUAAAUUGAUUACUAUAAAAAUAUUUAUGAAAUUUGAAUUUUUUAAAAAUAAUUUAAUAAUUUAUAAAAAUAUAGUUGAAAAUGAUUUAGUUAAUUAGGUAUAUUUAAUUAUAAAUAAAAAUGUUUAUAUUAAUAAGUUUUAUAAAUUAAUAAUGAUAAUAUUAGUAAAUAAUGUAUAUAAUAAGGAAGGGUAAAUUAAAAUUUGUUAAAUUAUAUUAAGGAAUUAAGCAAAUAAAAAAUUCACCUGUUUAAUAAAAACAUGGUUUUAUGAUUAUAAUUUAAGAUUGUUUCUGCUCUAUGAUUAGGUUUAAUUAAAUGGCUGCAGUAUAAUGACUGUACAAAGGUAGCAUAAUCAAUUGUUUUUUAAUUGAAAACUGGGAUGAAAGAAUUGAUGAGAUUUUAACUGUCUCAAUUUAAAAUGUUGAAUUUGUUUUUUGAGUAAAAAAACUUAAAUGAAAUUAUGGGACGAGAAGACCCUAUAGAAUUUUAUAUUGGUUAAAUUUAUGGAAUGAUUUAAUUUAAAUUUAAGUUUAAUCAAUAUUUGGUUGGGAGGAUUAAUAAAUUUAUUUAACUUUAUUUUUUAUUAUAUAUUAAUGAAUAGUAGUGAAAUGAUGUAAAGAAUGGUUUUUAAAUUUAAAAGAAUUAAUUACCUUAGGGAUAACAGCGUUAUAUCUUUAGAGAGACCUUAUUAAUAAAGAUGAUUGCGACCUCGAUGUUGAAUUAAAAUAAAAAUUAAAUGUAGGUAUUUAAUAUUUAAGUCUGUUCGACUUUUAAAAUUUUACAUGAUUUGAGUUUAGAUCGGCGUGAGCCAGAUCGGUUUCUAUCUAUAAUUAAUUAAAAAAUGAUUGUACGAAAGGACUUUAUUUUUAAAAUAAUUUUAAAUUUAUUUAUUUAAUUAUAAUAAAUGUUUAUUUGAUUAAAUUACUUUAGCAGAAUUAGUG